GACAAGCGUUACGUGUUACUGAACAGAGAAGGGAAGGGUAUCAAAUCGCGUGAUUUACUUAGACGUGGAGGAUUCCUUGCUAACCUCCCGCGCUAGUGUGCCAGGAAAUGAACGUGCAUUGGGUCCAGCUGGUGCGGCGGUGGACGGAGAUGGUCACCGAAAGAUCACACGAGCAACAAGCUCUGUUGAAAGUCACCAAGGCCGUGACUCUCGGAUUCCUCGUGAUAACGAUGUUUAAUGACGCCCAAAGUCAACAUGGGCCGUGCUUCGGGUGUGAAGAGUACCGCCAGACUCACCCCAACUCUCACCCUUACGAAAAGGUCAGAGGUCGGUGUUCUUACCCAUGUCACUGUCCAUCGGGUAAUCCCAUCUGUCCAGAGGGUGUCGCGAUCGUCACCGACGGAUGUGGCUGCUGUCCUGUUUGCGCCCGCCAACAAGGAGACGUGUGCGACAAGGUGAACGUAUGCGACGACAACCGAAACCUGAAGUGUUUCUACCAGGCCCCGCUCGAUACGACAGGAAUAUGUAACGCUCGGAAGGAAAUUGGUUGUCAAGUAGGCGGCGUGUCCUACGCAGAUGGAGAGACUUUUAAGCUGGACUGUAAAACCAAGUGCACGUGCCAAAAUGGAUCGUACGGGUGUGUGUCCCUGUGUCCUCACGAGAACAUCCGCCCUUCCCCCAAAUGCCGAAACCCUCAACUUGUACGAAUAACUGGAGCGUGCUGUAAAGAGUGGUUAUGUGAACCGAACGAAGAAAAGAUAGGUGGCUGUAUCCGACACUUCUCGCCAUGGAGCACGUGCUCAGUGACGUGUGGAGUAGGAAUAUCAUACAGGAUGACAAAUGACAACAACGACUGCUUGCCGCGGAGGGACACAAGGUUGUGUCAGCUGCGGCCUUGUGAGACCGUCCCCAUGGAAACAGGCGAAAGCACAGCGAUUCGUCAUGGCCGAAUGAGGCGCCACCGUCACUGCCGGAGUACAGUAAAAAGUUCUUUUCCCGCCAAACUCACAGACGACGGAAACUGUACCAGUGUCAGGGCUUAUCGUUCAACGUUUUGUGGGAUGUGUUCCGGGUACCAGUGUUGUCAACCUCAGUUGUCCACUACGGUCAAAGUGCCCUUUCGUUGUGGUCAUCCCGACGGCGAAACUGAAAACAUUGUUUCUAAGAACGUAAUGUUCACAGUCAAAUGUGUGUGUACAGACCACUGUUGAAAACGUCUUGGUGAAAAACAAAUGAUUAAAAAAACUACAAAAACCUAUUUUAUAAAAUGAGCUUUGUAUUUAUCAGAUUUUGAAAGUCAUAUUCCUAGUUAAGUGAAUUUAAAUCUAUGUUAUAAACAUGCAUACCAACUAGGCUUCUCUUCGUGUGAUCAUUUAUCAGAGAUAAUGAUGAAAUACGAUUUAGUUUAAGUAAUUAUAAGAGUUUUGAAAAAGCAAGGUUUAGUCAUGUGAUUAAAAAUGAUUUAGGAUUGAGGUUAAAACAAGGUUUAGUCAUGUGAUUAAAGUAAGAUUUAAUCAUGUGAUUAGAAGAGUUAGAUUAAAAAAGAUUUAGGAUUGAGGUUAAAACAAGGUUUAGCCAUGUGAUCAAAAGGAUUAGGUUAAAGUAAGAUUUAGAUUUGUGGUAAUAAAGGUUAUAUUAAAUUAAGGUUUUUAUCAGUGAUCAGAAGGGGUUAAGAUUUAUUCAUCUCAGUAGAUGGGUUGGAUCAGAGUAGGAUUUAAUACUAUGAUUAGAAGGGUUAGAUUAAAGCAAUGUGAUAAGAUCUGGUCAUUCAUAUGAUUAUAUGACAGGAGCUGUAGUAGUGGGUCAUUCAUAUGAUUAUAUGACAGUAGUGAACCGGUCAUUCAUAUGAUUAUAUGACAGGAGCUGUAGUAGUGGGUCAUUCAUAUGAUUAUAUGACAGGAGCUGUAGUAGUGGGUCAUUCAUAUGAUUAUAUGACAUGAGCUGUAGUAGUGGGUCAUUCAUAUGAUUAUAUGACAGUAGUGAACCGGUCAUUCAUAUGAUUAUAUGACAGUAGUGAAGUGAGAAUUAUUUCGUGAUUAUAAUGUGAUAAAAGUGAUUAUUUUUAAAAGACUGUCACAAAUUAAUAUUCCGUUAUAUAAUUGUUACACGAGUUGUGAUAAAUUAGAAUUUAUUCCCGAUAUUUCAUAACAAAAGGUUGUAUUAAAGCAGGAAGUAUUCAAGUAAUUAUGUUGUAAGGGUUGUGGUAAAACAGAAUUUAGUUUGUUCAAGAUUUCUCGAGAAAAGGCUGAAUGGAUUAGGACGUAAGUUGGUAUACAUUUGAACAAUGACUCAACUUAGAAGUGGUUAAUUUUUGUUAGCAUGGCGACCGAUUUCUGCUCUAUAAUUCAGUCAAAAAAUGGUCGAAUUUUGAUGAAACGUUUGUGGACAUAUGUGGUAUAUCAUUGUCCUGACAAAAAUGGUCCGUGUCCGUUGAUAACGACGUACAUACGAACAAACAAUCCUAUUUUUUGCGGGCCGAAUAUGAUCAACUCUGCGUGGCUUGGCGGAGCUAUGUGAUCUACUGUGUGCCCCCCCCCCUCUAGUUUUAAGGACUACUAUAAGGUUGUUUUUGUAUUCAUUGGAGACCUCUGGUGAUGCGACUGAUUCUACUUUCUAUGAUAGUGUAACGUGGCUGAUACAGUAAAAGGAAAAUAAAAUAACUUGUAAAGUAAGAUCUCCGGUUGUUAGGAUAUUACUGUUAUCGUUACUCGUUUAUAUGUCAAAAAAGUGAGGACCCAAUUAUUAAAUAAACGGUGAGGCUAGAUACCUGGUAAUGUGGUUAUUACAGAAAUUGUGAGGUUAGAUACCUGGUUAUUACAGAAAUUGUGAGGUUAGAUACCUGGUUAAUACAGAAACGGUGAGGUUAGAUACCUGGUUAAUACAGAAACGGUGAGGUUAGAUAUAUGGUUAAUACAGAAACGGUGAGGUUAGAUAUAUGGUUAUUACAGAAACGGUGAGGUUAGAUACCUGGUUAUUACAGAAACGGUGAGGCUAGAUACCUGGUUAAUACAGAAACGAUGAGGCUAGAUACCUGGUUAUUACAGAAACGGUGAGGUUAGAUACCUGGUUAAUACAGAAACGGUGAGGUUAGAUACCUGGUUAUUACAGAAACGGUGAGGUUAGAUACCUGGUUAAUACAGAAACGGUGAGGUUAGAUACCUGGUUAUUACAGAAAUUGUGAGGUUAGAUAUAUGGUCAAACAACUGGUAACGUCUAAUAUCUAGUUGUAAUCUGGUUAAAUUACUGGUAACGUCUAAUAUCUAGUUGUAAUCUGGUUAAACUACUGGUAACGUCUAAUAUCUAGUUGUAAUCUGGUUAAACUACUGGUAACGUCUAAUAUCUAGUUGUAAUCUGGUUAAACAACUGGUAACGUCUAAUCUCUAGUUGUAAUCUGGUUAAAUUACUGGUAACGUCUAAUAUCUAGUUGUAAUCUGGUUAAAUUACUGGUAACGUCUAAUCUCUAGUUGUAAUCUGGUUAAACUACUGGUAACGUCUAAUAUCUAGUUGUAAUCUGGUUAAAUUACUGGUAACGUCUAAUAUCUAGUUGUAAGAAAUGGGUGAAUUAGAUUAGUAUUCAUGUUGAUCAAGAAGACAUUUAUCUUAUCAUGUAUAUAGUCCUACCAAAUUAUGAUGUGUAAAAUUGUAUUGUAAACGUACUUCUAAUAAUGGAUAAGCUGGACGAUCUUAUUGUAAACAAACUUCUAACACUUUAUGAGAUGCAAAAUGUUAUUACAAACAUAGUUCCAACAACGCAUGGACUAUUAAAUCUUGUUUCAACAACGCAUGGCCUAUUAAAUCAUGUUCCAAAAAUACAUGGCCUAUUACAUCUUGUUCCAACAAGGCAUGGCCUAUUAAAUCAUGUUCCAACAACGCAUGGCCUGUUAAAUCUUGUUUUAAACUUAUUCCUAUAUUGUAUAAGUUAGAAAAUCUUAUUGCAAGCGGAAUUCUAACAAUGCAUAACCUGGAAAAUCUGGUUAUACACGUAUUUCCAUAUUGCAUAAGCUAGAAAAUCGUAUUUUUAAUAAACUCCUAACAAUCUUGAAAUGGAAAAAUCUUAUUGUAAACGUACCCCUAACAAUCAUGAAAUGGAAAAAUCUUAUUGUAAACGUACCCCUAACAAUCUUGAAAUAGAAAAAAUCUUAUUAUAAACGCAGCCCUAACAACGUAUGAGCUAGCAAACCUUAUUGUAAACGUGGCCCUAACAACGUAUGAGCUAGCAAACCUUAUUGUAAACGUAGCCCUAACAACGUAUGAGCUGGCAAAUCUUAUUGUAAACGUAGCCCUAGCAACGUAUGAGCUGGCAAAUGUUAUUGUAAACGUAGCCAUAACAACGUAUGAGCUAGUAAACCUUAUUGUAAACGUAGCCCUAAGAACGUAUGAGCUGGCAAAUCUUAUUGUAAACGUAGCCCUAACAACGUAUGAGCUGGCAAAUUUUAUUGUAAACGUAGCCCUAAGAACGUAUGAGCUGGCGAAUCUUAUUGUAAACGUAGCCCUAACAACGUAUGAGCUGGCAAAUCUUAUUGUAAACGUAGCCCUAAGAACGUAUGAGCUAGCAAAUCUUAUUGUAAACGUUAGAUGAUAAAUAAUUCAUAUAAAAGAAACACUGUUCAUCAUCUAAGCGUCAUUUUCUAGUAAACAUAUCCAAAGAAAUAUUGUCGAAAUAUACGUAAUUAUGAUAUCAUUUAUCCACAAGGGGGCACAACAACAAUAUGGCCGAUCUUUAAUAGGCCUAACGUUGGGACCAUAUCAUGGAAACUAUCUUAGUUUGCUGUUAUCACAUAUUCGGUAAAUAACGUGACCAUCUAUCUAAACUUAUCACAUUUAGCUGUGAUGGUUCUUUAAAACGUCACAAGCUUUACUUUGUAUAUCAGAGUGGAGUGCCUGCAAUUAUGUAAGAUACAAAUCAACCUGACUAUGAAAUUUUUUUUCUUUUCCUUUCUCUUCGUACCAGCAGUAUAAAUGUUCUAGAUUUAUAUAUGUAUGUGCUAUAUUUCUAAAUGUUGGUUUUAAACUUCUAAUACCUUAGGUAAUAUCCUAACUGGUAAACAAAACAACUGGUUAUUUAUAAUAUAAGUGUAUUACUUGUGUAACGUUCCUCUACCGAGUGAUUUUGGAAGUUAAUCGUGAAGAAGAAGAAGAAAACGCCAAUGAACACGUGUUAAACACAUAUAUAAUUCCACGUGCAAGUACAGCGUCGACUUUGGAAGGUAUAUUUAAUUAUACUUCUGUCUGUUUUCACUGUGAAUAAACUGGAAUUAUCUUUAU
This 5265-nucleotide unclassified non-coding RNA is filed under the name Limulus polyphemus (Atlantic horseshoe crab). Its description in RNAcentral is "connective tissue growth factor-like, transcript variant X1". The record is from RNAcentral. Lineage: Eukaryota; Metazoa; Arthropoda; Merostomata; Xiphosura; Limulidae.